This 1683-nucleotide long non-coding RNA is filed under the name Mus musculus (house mouse). Its description in RNAcentral is "predicted gene 534". Lineage: Eukaryota; Metazoa; Chordata; Mammalia; Rodentia; Muridae. The record is from RNAcentral.
AUGUGUGGGACUCUUGCAUUCCGAAUCGAAUCUGUGCAAAGAUGGUCCUCAGAUCUGCCGUCUUCCCUUAGGGGUCUUCCAAGAGAAACACCCGCCAACUCAAUCCCUCCCUGACCAAGAGACACUGGAGCCUUCAGAUACAUCAGGAGGAGAAGCUGAAUUGAGCACAGUUUCACAAAUAUCUGUGACUUGUAGAUUCCAUGCUGCAGAAAACCAUCAGCAGAAACAGGAGGCUGACCUUGCUGGCCAGAACAAAGAAUGUAAUUGGCAGGACACAGAUGUGGCCUUGAGAGCUGUUGAGUAACUGAAGACAGGACUGAAGACAGGACAGGGAGUCUCAUUCCUGUCAAGUGAAUGACGCAGUGCUCUUUGCAAGUAUUGACGAACAAUCUGAUCUCUCUCCUUUACCCUUGAAAAUGCCAUUAAGGGAUUCGGCUUUCCUCUGAGGAGUCCAUAUACAUCCCUAUUAAUCUUCAGGGCAACGUCAACAUGAAAAUGAUCCGAGCCUGGCCGAUGACUGCAUAGGUCUGCUUGCAAGAGAUUCACAGAGGUCCACACAAGUCAUCCCACUUAAGGGAUCUUCCUUCUGUCUUCACCCACACCUCCUCUGCACACAGCUCUCCGCCUCCCUGGGGUUCAUUGUAGCCAUCUUUCUGAGACAAGGGUCAGUUCAGAGGGCAGUUGUUGCCUCCUCUCUCUCCAGGAAACAAGCUCUCCUCAUAAGGAUUCUUUUUCCCAGCAAGCAAAGAUGACCUGGAAAUUUGACAGUACCAGAGUUACAGACUACUCUUUCUCAAGAGAGAAAUAUUACCUUAUAGAAACCAGCUUUUAUCCUGCUGUGAAACUGUACUGUGUUCUGCGGAUUGUCUCUGAUUAGAGCCAGGUGAACUGGGGGAAGCUCGGAGGGCUGUCUUCUGCACACCUCAAAGGCAGCUGGAAUCGUAUGUGACCCUGAAAAGAAGCUGCAGCAAGACUUAGGGGGAGGUGGGGGAAAGACAACGACGUUGAUACAAGCCAGCACAUUCCGUGCUCAGAGUGUACGAGAAUGUUCUUAAACACACCAGGAGAAAAAUCCCGAAGGUUUCAAAACUCCUGGUGAUAGUGAAGUUCUUGGCUAACUUCCUAGAGCAUUAUCGGGCAUUAUAAAUGUCCUUUGAAUUCACGCAGCUCCUAAGAACAAAGGAAUUGUUUUGAGGAUUUUAGUGUUUACUCUUUAGGAGGUCUGAAGGCUCUAUUUGUAAUUUCUUAAUAAAAUCAAAUCUUCGUCACAUUAAAGAAGGGUAGAAAAACGGUAAAGUAUUUUUAAAACAAAAAUAGGCAUUUAAUCAGUUAGUCAGAUAAUAUUCAUUGAGCACUCGGGUGCAUCAAGCAAUGCUGUAGGGAUAGGACCACUGUGGUGACCCAGAUGAACUUUGACCCUGCCUACUUGAUAUACCCCAGUGGGCAGAGUAGGCUUAUAGUAAACCACAUCUGAGGAAAACUCAAGUGACCACAGUGUCCCUCUUCAGAGAUCAUUAAGAACAUUGUGCAGGAUUUAGACACACGCUGUAAAGACAAGAAGACCUUGAAAAUGCUCAAGGCACAGCUCAGGGACUUACCUGCCAAAAGCCCAGAGUUCCAUCUCCUACAAUAGGGAAAUUUGAUAUUUGGAUUGAUACCUAAUGGAUAAAGGUAUUUUAAAUA